This 254-nucleotide unclassified non-coding RNA is filed under the name Hevea brasiliensis (rubber tree). Lineage: Eukaryota; Viridiplantae; Streptophyta; Magnoliopsida; Malpighiales; Euphorbiaceae. The record is from RNAcentral.
UUGUUAAUUGAACUUUAUAUCCCAUUAGUGUUUUACAAUUUUUUGAUUGAAAUAGAUUAAUUUAUUGAUUGAAUUUUGUCAAAUUUUGGUUGAAAUUCUCCACUUUUCUGUCCUUUGUUUCUUCCUCUCCAUCCUAGAUUAGAGGGGAUGUAUCCCAUAAUUCCUAACUAGUGUAGGGUUCAUUAAUUCUGAUGAUUUGAAUGAGUUUGCAAUGAAAACCAUUUUUAUAUUUUGAUUUGUAUUAUUUGGGUAAG